AUCAAAACAAAACAAAAAACGAGAAAAAAAAGAGCAAAAGAAGUUGAAACUGAUAAAAUUUAAGAGUAACUGAAACCGAAAGCCCCUUAAACAGAAGAAGGGGAAAGCGGAGAAUUCGUUGUUCCCUUCGCACUUUUGAGGCAAGUCCUUCGUUUAAGUCCAAAUCGAUCGCUCUAUCUCUGUCUCCAUCCCUAUCUCUCUCAGCCCCCCGCCCCGCCCCCCUUAUACGAUAUAUUUCUCGCUCGCAGUCUCUUCUUAAAACGAUAGAUUUAAAACGAUAGAAAUUCGCAUAUACAUAUAUUUUUGAAAGUAUAGAAUUGCAACUUUUGAAAAAAUGCAACCAAAAAUAAAGACGAAAGACUAAAGCCAAAAACAAAAUGAAUUCAAUUGUUUGAAGCAAGAACAAGCGAAUAACGGAGAAAGUGCAACGAAGUGCCGUUAUUUCGAUAGUUUGUAUAGUUGUUUUUUUUUUCUUUUAAUACUUAUUUUCUGUUUCGUUUACUUAGAGAACUAAAAAUCGUUUACACACACAUACACACACACACACACUAACACGACAUCAAUUAAACAAAGACACAUACAAGCCAACACCCACCCACACAGACAAGUUUCUUAUAGAUGAUACAAACACAAAAGAACACAUUACAUGUGCACAGUGGGCACAUCCUGUGCUGCCCACUGGGCUCGCAAGACCUACAAAACAAGCAUACUUUUAAGCGCCAAAGUUAGGAGCGUCUUUUGAGGGUUCUAAAAACAAAAUAAGGAUACCAUUAAACACCAGACUUGUUGAGCAAAUAACAUUUAGCUGGAGCAUGUAAGCUAAAGUUGCCAUCGUCAGACGGAACUAACUUUAAAAUAAUAAAAAUAAUACAAGUUGAAACCAAAACCCAUUGUGAUAACAGCUGCGUAAACGAAACACGUUAGAACCUUACUUGUACGUAUUUCGAUUGCAAUUCGAUAAAACGGGGAUCCCCCACUAAGUCCUAAAUAAUACAAAUUCAAUCAAAAGCAAGCAAGCCAACAAUUUAUCCAAACUAGUUUUUAAACGAAUACAAAACUCACCCAGCCGCACAUACACGUAUUUUUACUGAUUUGAUAAGGAGGUGAACUAUUCUUGAUUUUCAUUUGUUGUGUUGACCAAUGCAAAUUUUAGCGACAAAUUAAGAAAAUACACAUACCAGAA
This 1183-nucleotide small RNA is filed under the name Drosophila erecta. RNAcentral describes it as "GG27247". Lineage: Eukaryota; Metazoa; Arthropoda; Insecta; Diptera; Drosophilidae. The record is from RNAcentral.